UAGUUCCUACGGGGGGCAGCAGUGGGGAAUAUUGCGCAAUGGGCGAAAGCCUGACGCAGCGACGCCGCGUGAGGGAAGACGGUUUUCGGAUUGUAAACUUCUUUUCUUAGUGAAGAAGCAAGUGAUGGUAGCUAAGGAAUAAGCAUCGGCUAACUACGUGCCAGCAGCCGCGGUAAUACGUAGGAUGCGAGCGUUAUCCGGAAUUACUGGGUGUAAAGGGAGCGCAGGCGGGACUGCAAGUUGGAUGUGAAAUACCGCAGCUUAACUGCGGAGCUGCAUCCAAAACUGUAGUUCUUGAGUGGAGG
Molecule: ribosomal RNA, 305 nt
Filed under: uncultured bacterium
Lineage: Bacteria
Description: bacterial SSU rRNA
Rfam family: Bacterial small subunit ribosomal RNA
Source: RNAcentral